GGGGUUGACGGUACCCUACUAGAAAGGAGCCGCUAACUUCGUGCCAGAAGCGUCGGUAAUACGGGGGCUCCAAGCGUUAUCCGGUGUUAUUGGGCGUAAAGAGUCGUGUAGGUGGUUGGGUAAGUUAUCUUUCAAAUAUCUUUGCUUAACAAAGAGGAGGGGGAUAAUACUGCUCGACUAGAAUUUUCUCAAGGGAGAUCGGAACUGAGGGAGGAGUAGUGAAAUGCGUUGAUACCCUCGGGAACACCAGUGGCGUAGGCGGAUCUCUGGGAGAAGAUUGACACUGAGACACGAAAGCUAGGGGAGCGAAGCAGAUUAGAGACCUGCGUAGUCCUAGCCGUAAACGCAUGCUUGCUAGCUGCAUGAAUCUACCUUCGGGUGGUAUCGUGUGGCGAAGGUAACCCGUUAAGCAAGCCGCCUGGAAAGUACGGCCGCAAGGCUGAAAUUCAAAGGAAUUGGCGGGGAGGCACACAACCAGUGGAACAUGUGGUUUAAUUCGAGACUAACCGAAGAACCUCACCAGGGUUUGACAUGUAGCUGCACGUCUUAAGAAAUUAAGACUCUCUUGAGGGUGCUACACAGGUGCUGCAUGGCUGUCGUCAGCUCGUUCCGUGAGGAGUGCCCUUAAGUGGGACAACGAGCGCAACCCCUAUUACAUGUUAGAAAUGUCAUGUAAGACUGCCUUGCCAUUUGGCGGGGAGGAAGGAGGGGCAGACGUCAAGUCCGCAUGGUCCUUAUGCCCUGGGCUACACACAUGUUACAAUGAGUACGGCAAUGAGUCUGUCGCGAGCACGUAAGUGUAAGCUAAUCUCUUAAAUGUACUCUCAGUGGGGAUUGAGGUCUGCAACUCGACCUCAUGAACACGGAAUUGGUAGUAAUCGCGGGUCAGCUAUACCGCGGUGAUACGUUCUUGCCUCUUGCACACACCGCCCGUCAAACCAGCAAAGUCGAUUGUAUCCGAACCUCUCUUUU
This 972-nucleotide ribosomal RNA is filed under the name uncultured organism. Its description in RNAcentral is "bacterial SSU rRNA". It matches the Rfam family "Bacterial small subunit ribosomal RNA", at positions 465 to 1435 of the family's 1533-position model. The record is from RNAcentral.